GACUGGGUGGGCGUGGCUAUGGAACCAUUUGACUGGGGGAAUCAAAAGACAGAAACUCACUAACGAUGUCCUGCUGGGGCAGGGUUGGACUAGAUGACCUCCAGGUCCCUUCCAGCCCUGGAUUAUCCUCUGAUGCUGUGUCUAGUGCCAGGUCUAAAAUAAUCUUCCUAAUAGAAAAUGCUGGCUGAGGAUAAAUGGGCGAAGAAGUUCAUUACGUCUGAAGAAUCACAUCAUUAAAGAAUUACAUUUUGAUGCGACACUCCACAAACCAGUUAACGAUACCCGAAAGCAAUGCUAUAUAUCUCCCUCACUUGCAAGCACU
Molecule: long non-coding RNA, 322 nt
Organism: Ahaetulla prasina
Lineage: Eukaryota; Metazoa; Chordata; Lepidosauria; Squamata; Colubridae
Exons: 3
Source: RefSeq, a predicted model, not a curated record